RNAcentral lists this ribosomal RNA (463 nucleotides) under uncultured bacterium. Its description in RNAcentral is "partial 16S ribosomal RNA". It matches the Rfam family "Bacterial small subunit ribosomal RNA", at positions 28 to 507 of the family's 1533-position model. The record is from RNAcentral.
GACGAACGCUGGCGGCGUGCUUAACACAUGCAAGUCGAACGGAAAGGCCUUUUCGGCGGUACUCGAGUGGCGAACGGGUGCGUAACACGUGGGUGAUCUGCCCUGCACUCUGGGAUAAGCCUGGGAAACUGGGUCUAAUACCGGAUAGGACCGCACUUUAGUGUGUGUGGUGGAAAGUUUUUUCGGUGUAGGAUGAGCCCGCGGCCUAUCAGCUUGUUGGUGGGGUAAUGGCCUACCAAGGCGGCGACGGGUAGCCGGACUGAGAGGUUGGUCGGCCACAUUGGGACUGAGAUACGGCCCAGACUCCUACGGGAGGCAGCAGUGGGGAAUAUUGCACAAUGGGCGCAAGCCUGAUGCAGCGACGCCGCGUGGGGGAUGACGGCCUUCGGGUUGUAAACUCCUUUCGCCAGGGACGAAGCGUUUUGUGACGGUACCUGGAGAAGAAGCACCGGCUAACUACGUG